UACCAGCCCAGUGAACCCAGCUGUCUUCCCUCACCUGACUGUGGUACUUCUGGCCAUCGGCAUGUUCUUCACUGCUUGGUUCUUCGUUUACGAGGUCACCUCUACCAAGUACACUCGCGAUGUUUACAAAGAGCUCCUCAUCUCCUUGGUGGCCUCCCUCUUCAUGGGCUUUGGAGUCCUCUUCCUCCUGCUGUGGGUCGGCAUCUACGUAUGAGUGUCCAAGGGUACCCACCAGGCAGCUCACCAAGUCUCUGCUUUUGUAAAUUAAUUUUUUACCAUUGCUACAUGUCCCACCUGCUAUUUACAAUAAAGGCAGAUGUGUGAC
RNAcentral lists this long non-coding RNA (325 nucleotides) under Rattus norvegicus (Norway rat). RNAcentral's name for it is "long non-coding RNA NONRATT029387". Lineage: Eukaryota; Metazoa; Chordata; Mammalia; Rodentia; Muridae. The record is from RNAcentral.